This 188-nucleotide unclassified non-coding RNA is filed under the name uncultured fungus. RNAcentral describes it as "sequence contains ITS1". The record is from RNAcentral. Lineage: Eukaryota; Fungi.
UUAUUAAGGUUGUCCUCGUCAUUACAACGAGUACUUGUAACAUUCUAUUAAACAUUGUUUUAAAAAUGGUAUUAGAGUCUUUUAACAACUCUAUUAAGUUCACAGGUGUAUAUGGAUAGAGAAGGAGAGUUCCUUUGAAAGAAACUACAAAUUCAAUAAUGAUCCUUCCGCAGGUUCACCUACGGAAA